Molecule: non-coding RNA, 124 nt
Organism: Hordeum vulgare subsp. vulgare (domesticated barley)
Lineage: Eukaryota; Viridiplantae; Streptophyta; Magnoliopsida; Poales; Poaceae
Source: Rfam
UACGUGCUCCCUCCGUCCGGAAAUACUUGUCUUAGAAAUGGACGAAUCUAGACUUAUUUUAGUUAUAGAUACAUCUAUUAUAUCCAUUUUUAGGACAAAUAUUUUCGGACGAAGGGAGUAUAAA